Molecule: ribosomal RNA, 253 nt
Filed under: uncultured bacterium
Lineage: Bacteria
Description: partial 16S ribosomal RNA
Rfam family: Bacterial small subunit ribosomal RNA
Source: RNAcentral
CACGUAGGAGGCGAGCGUUGUCCGGAAUCAUUGGGCGUAAAGAGCGCGCAGGCGGUCGUUCAAGUCGAGUGUGAAAGCCCCCGGCUCAACUGGGGAGGGUCAUUCGAUACUGAUCGACUCGAAGGCAGGAGAGGGAAGUGGAAUUCCCGGUGUAGUGGUGAAAUGCGUAGAUAUCGGGAGGAACACCAGUGGCGAAGGCGACUUCCUGGCCUGUUCUUGACGCUGAGGCGCGAAAGCUAGGGGAGCAAACGGG